Etheostoma cragini (Arkansas darter) is the source of this 182-nucleotide long non-coding RNA. RefSeq lists it as uncharacterized. The transcript is spliced from 2 exons. The record is from RefSeq and is a predicted model, not a curated record. Lineage: Eukaryota; Metazoa; Chordata; Actinopteri; Perciformes; Percidae.
GGAGUCGAUCAGUCUGUGGCACUGCUCAGGUGUUAUGAGAGCCCAGGUUGCUCUGAUAGUGGCCUUCAGUUCUUCUGCAUUGUUGGGUCAGGUGAGUUUGCUGGCCAAUUAAGAACAGGGAUACCAUGGUCCUUAUACCAGGUACUUGUAGCUUUGGCACUGUGUGCAGAUGCCAAGUCCUG